AUCCAGCUGACGAGUCCCAAAUAGGAGGGAACGCGAGUCCUCCAU
This 45-nucleotide non-coding RNA is filed under the name Schistosoma mattheei. The record is from RNAcentral. Lineage: Eukaryota; Metazoa; Platyhelminthes; Trematoda; Strigeidida; Schistosomatidae.